Molecule: long non-coding RNA, 597 nt
Filed under: Paramuricea clavata
Lineage: Eukaryota; Metazoa; Cnidaria; Anthozoa; Malacalcyonacea; Plexauridae
Source: RNAcentral
UGUAAAACAUUUGCAAAAUUGAAUACAAACGUUUAAAAAGUUAUUUACUUCUCAAGAAAACGUUCACGUUUUUAGUCGUGUUUCUACAAGAUUAAAGUGAUUAUAUGUAAACAGAAAAAUAUUUCAGUUUCAUAGCCUAAUUGUUCAUUUUUAGCAAAAAGUACAAAACCAAACACGAAACAAAAAAAACACGUCUCACACGUCCACCUGUUAGUAGGCUGUUACAGCUCAUAGAUUGAGUAAAUGGCAGGAUUCAAUCAGCUUCAACCUUGUUUUCAUCGAUUUAAUCCUUCACAAUAAUCCUUGGCUGUCCAUAGCACUCAAAUAAAUCGAAAAGUUGACAAAAACAAAACAGUAAAAACAACAUUGCCGCUCGAUUUUGCUGAAUGAAAACUCGUUCUGCGCCCGCGUACAAUCUUUUACUAGUCAGCGACGCUUUUCAAUAAGGGAAUUUCUCGAGUUACACGAGGCUAUUUUCUAACUUUAUUUGCAUUUUACUCAUUAGUUUCAUCGGUGACCUAUCUUCAAAUUUUGACCACGAAUUUAUUUUGCGGUAAAUUUUAUAAAUUUCAAAUUUUAAAAAAAUCUGUAGUGUGG